GACGCCAUCCUUGUCUCUCUCAUGAACCAGCUUGAGAAGGACAAGAAAUCGUUAAAAUUAGGACCAGAUGACAAUCUUUAUGUGGAGGGUUUUGCAUCGAAUCUUUUUGCAAAGGCAGAUAAGCAAGAUCGGGCUGGGAGAGCUGACUUGUACUUUAUGCAGUUAUUUGUUGUACAUUCUGUCUUACUAGUGCAGCCAAAUUAAUUCUGUGGAUCUUACAGGAAUACUGCAAGAACAUUUUAUGCAGCCAGCAUUUUCUUUGAGAUUUUGAAUCAAUUUGGUAAACUUCAUCCUGAAAUUGAGCAGAAGCAGAAGUAUGCAGUUUGGAAAGCUGUAGAUAUAAGGAAAGCUUUGAAGGAAGGAAGAAAGC
Musa acuminata AAA Group (dessert banana) is the source of this 370-nucleotide long non-coding RNA. RefSeq lists it as uncharacterized. The transcript has 3 exons. Lineage: Eukaryota; Viridiplantae; Streptophyta; Magnoliopsida; Zingiberales; Musaceae. The record is from RefSeq and is a predicted model, not a curated record.